RNAcentral lists this ribosomal RNA (253 nucleotides) under uncultured bacterium. RNAcentral describes it as "partial 16S ribosomal RNA". It matches the Rfam family "Bacterial small subunit ribosomal RNA", at positions 524 to 776 of the family's 1533-position model. The record is from RNAcentral.
UACGGAGGGGGCGAGCGUUAUUCGGAAUUAUUGGGCGUAAAGGGCGCGUAGGCGGCUUGAUAAGUCAGAGGUGAAAUCCCUCGGCUCAACUGAGGAACUGCCUUUGAAACUGUCAGACUUGAGGCCGGGAGGGGGUAGCGGAAUUCCCAGUGUAGCGGUGAAAUGCGUAGAUACUGGGAGGAACACCGGUGGCGAAGGCGGCUACCUGGACCGGUUCUGACGCUGAUGCGCGAAAGCGUGGGUAGCAAACAGG